AACGAACGCUGGCGGCAUGCCUAACACAUGCAAGUCGAACGAGACCUUCGGGCCUAGUGGCGCCCGGGUGCGUAACGCGUGGGAACCUGCCCUUAGGUUCGGAAUAACUCCCCGAAAGGGGUGCUAAUACCGGAUAAUGUCUUCGGCCCAAAGAUUUAUCGCCUUUGGAUGGGCCCGCGUUGGAUUAGCUAGUUGGUAGGGUAAAAGCCUACCAAGGCGACGAUCCAUAGCUGGUCUGAGAGGAUGAUCAGCCACACUGGGACUGAGACACGGCCCAGACUCCUACGGGAGGCAGCAGUGGGGAAUAUUGGACAAUGGGCGAAAGCCUGAUCCAGCAAUGCCGCGUGAGUGAUGAAGGCCUUAGGGUUGUAAAGCUCUUUUACCCGGGAUGAUAAUGACAGUACCGGGAGAAUAAGCUCCGGCUAACUCCGUG
Molecule: ribosomal RNA, 433 nt
Filed under: uncultured bacterium
Lineage: Bacteria
Description: partial 16S ribosomal RNA
Rfam family: Bacterial small subunit ribosomal RNA
Source: RNAcentral